This 497-nucleotide ribosomal RNA is filed under the name uncultured bacterium. Its description in RNAcentral is "partial 16S ribosomal RNA". It matches the Rfam family "Bacterial small subunit ribosomal RNA", at positions 28 to 507 of the family's 1533-position model. The record is from RNAcentral.
GAUGAACGCUGGCGGCGUGCCUAAUACAUGCAAGUCGAGCGAACAGACGAGGAGCUUGCUCCUCUGACGUUAGCGGCGGACGGGUGAGUAACACGUGGAUAACCUACCUAUAAGACUGGGAUAACUUCGUGAAACCGGAGCUAAUACCGGAUAAUAUAUUGAACCGCAUGGUUCAAUAGUGAAAGACGGUUUUGCUGUCACUUAUAGAUGGAUCCGCGCCGCAUUAGCUAGUUGGUAAGGUAACGGCUUACCAAGGCGACGAUGCGUAGCCGACCUGAGAGGGUGAUCGGCCACACUGGAACUGAGACACGGUCCAGACUCCUACGGGAGGCAGCAGUAGGGAAUCUUCCGCAAUGGGCGAAAGCUUGACGGAGCAACGCCGCGUGAGUGAUGAAGGUCUUCGGAUCGUAAAACUCUGUUAUUAGGGAAGAACAAAUGUGUAAGUAACUAUGCACGUCUUGACGGUACCUAAUCAGAAAGCCACGGCUAACUACGUG